CUGGGCAAAAGUUUGAUGGUGAUACUCAAGAUACCAAUGACGAUGAUGGUGAUUAUUUCACUGGAGCUUUGGAUGUUUAAAGCCAUUAGCAUAUCUGUUUUAUGAUUUUUUUUUUCUUUAUGUAGUGUCCAAUUAAGAAGAAAUUAGUACUUUAUGUCUUUAACUAUAUACUUUGCUAUUUUGUUAUUUUAUUAUUUUAUUUUAUUUUUUGUUAAGGAAUUUGUU
RNAcentral lists this long non-coding RNA (225 nucleotides) under Lathyrus oleraceus (garden pea). RNAcentral describes it as "Pisum sativum (pea) long non-coding RNA (PSAT_LNC000436)". The record is from RNAcentral. Lineage: Eukaryota; Viridiplantae; Streptophyta; Magnoliopsida; Fabales; Fabaceae.